RNAcentral lists this ribosomal RNA (1350 nucleotides) under uncultured bacterium. RNAcentral's name for it is "bacterial SSU rRNA". It matches the Rfam family "Bacterial small subunit ribosomal RNA", at positions 28 to 1381 of the family's 1533-position model. The record is from RNAcentral.
AACGAACGCUGGCGGCGUGGAUAAGACAUGCAAGUCGAACGGAGAUUCUUUAGAGCUUGCUUUGAAGAGUCUUAGUGGCGAACGGGUGAGUAACACGUGAGUUACCUGCCCCGAAGCGGGGGAUAGCCCGAAGAAAUUCGGAUUAAUACCCCAUGUGAUCGUAAGAUUAAAGGCGGCGUAAGCUGUCGCUUCGGGAUGGGCUCGCGGCCUAUCAGCUUGUUGGUGAGGUAAUGGCUCACCAAGGCGAUGACGGGUAGCUGGUCUGAGAGGAUGAUCAGUCACACUGGAACUGAGACACGGUCCAGACUCCUACGGGAGGCAGCAGUGGGGAAUUUUGCGCAAUGGGCGAAAGCCUGACGCAGCAACGCCGCGUGGAGGAUGAAGGCCUUCGGGUCGUAAACUCCUGUCGAUGGGGACGAAAGCCCUGAGAAGGGAUUGACUGUACCCGUUGAGGAAGCCACGGCUAACUCCGUGCCAGCAGCCGCGGUAAUACGGAGGUGGCAAGCGUUGUUCGGAAUUACUGGGCGUAAAGGGCGCGUAGGCGGCGAAGCAAGUCAGAUGUGAAAGCCCCGGGCUUAACUCGGGAAUUGCAUCUGAAACUGUUUUGCUUGAGUCCUGGAGGGGGUAGUGGAAUUCCCAGUGUAGCGGUGAAAUGCGUAGAUAUUGGGAGGAACACCUGCGGCGAAGGCGGCUACCUGGACAGUGACUGACGCUGAUGCGCGAAAGCUAGGGGAGCGAACGGGAUUAGAUACCCCGGUAGUCCUAGCUGUAAACGAUGGGCACUUGGUGUUGGGGGUAUUGAGUCCCUCGGUGCCGGAGUUAACACGUUAAGUGCCCCGCCUGGGGAGUACGGUCGCAAGACUGAAACUCAAAGGAAUUGACGGGGGCCCGCACAAGCGGUGGAGCAUGUGGUUCAAUUCGACGCAACGCGAAGAACCUUACCGGGGCUUGAACUGUAACUGCUACUUCUGGAAACAGGGGGUUCUCUUCGGAGACGGUUAUAGAGGUGCUGCAUGGCUGUCGUCAGCUCGUGUCGUGAGAUGUUGGGUUAAGUCCCGCAACGAGCGCAACCCUUGCCCUUAGUUGCCAUCAGGUAAAGCUGGGCACCCUAAGGGAACUGUCGGCGAAAAGCCGGAGGAAGGUGGGGAUGACGUCAAGUCCUCAUGGCCCUUACGUCCCGGGCUACACACGUGCUACAAUGGCUGGUACAAAGAGUCGCCAACCCGCGAGGGGGAGCUAAUCUCAAAAAACCAGUCCCAGUUCGGAUUGCAGUCUGCAACUCGACUGCAUGAAGGUGGAAUCGCUAGUAAUCGCAGAUCAGCACGCUGCGGUGAAUACGUUCCCGGGCCU